This 362-nucleotide long non-coding RNA is filed under the name Nicotiana benthamiana. RNAcentral's name for it is "long non-coding RNA (NBEN_LNC012300)". Lineage: Eukaryota; Viridiplantae; Streptophyta; Magnoliopsida; Solanales; Solanaceae. The record is from RNAcentral.
UUGUUCUUUCCCAAAGAGCUACUCGCAUAGAUCUAAAUGAGAUAGAGUAGUUUUUUAAUAAAUGUCAAUUGGAACGAUAUGAUUUGAAUUCCACUGACAUCUGAAGGAGACAUGAAUAACAGGUGAUUGUAAUCUAUUCUAGGUGCUUGAUUCGUUCCCACUGCAGGAGUUGGAGCUGGUGUAUGAGUAUGGUACUCAAUCAUAUGAUUCAGCAGAUCUUCGAUUGCCAUUGUCAAACAAGAAUUCAAGAACACUAACGGUAAUUGUCUAGUAAAUUUUGUGAAAUUAAGAUCGAACCACAAGCUAGAAAUUAAUAGCUAUCAGCUUUGGCACCAUGAUAUUCUAUUAAGAAGAAGAAGAGC